CGAAAGGUACUUAAACUGGCAGCGUGCGGCGGGGCUCCCAGCGUAAUUAUCGACGUUAACACAAAGGCAGGGGAGCGUGACACCGUCAACGGGGCAAGGAGGACGAGCUCUCUGCUCCUUUCACGGAUCUGUUAGGCUCCUCUCCCAUAAGGCUUCACAGGAAGAGUGAUUGCAGUUGUUCACCUUUACGCUCUCAUCUGAUUGGACAAGAUGCUUUUGUCCAAAGCUGUACACAAGCGGAUAACGACGUGCCAAUGAUCUUCCCAUAGGACCGGUGACUUUGUGAAAGGUCAGGGGUGAGUCUCUCAGGACGUGACUCAUGUUCCGUCUGGAGAGACGGUAGCCCUCAUUGCAGUCUGACACAUCUGCCCCUGAACUUCUGAAGCUGUGGUGCUUCAGAAAACGCACAGAAAGGUCAUCUGAAGGUUAUAUCAUCCAACAGGGGCAG
Molecule: long non-coding RNA, 448 nt
Organism: Paramormyrops kingsleyae
Lineage: Eukaryota; Metazoa; Chordata; Actinopteri; Osteoglossiformes; Mormyridae
Source: RefSeq, a predicted model, not a curated record